UCUUUCUAUGAACUAUUGAAAAGGUUGUUGUCGACUUACGACCGAUAGACUUUACGACGAUUAGCGCGCCAGCUCCCGGCAGCAAUAGUAAAUAGUCCAG
This is a long non-coding RNA of Octopus sinensis (East Asian common octopus), 100 nucleotides long. RefSeq lists it as uncharacterized. The record is from RefSeq and is a predicted model, not a curated record. NCBI's taxonomy places the organism in Eukaryota, Metazoa, Mollusca, Cephalopoda, Octopoda, Octopodidae. The transcript is spliced from 3 exons.